UGCGUGCCAUAUGCCAUGAAAUGACGCAA
Molecule: non-coding RNA, 29 nt
Filed under: Rattus norvegicus (Norway rat)
Lineage: Eukaryota; Metazoa; Chordata; Mammalia; Rodentia; Muridae
Source: RNAcentral